This 251-nucleotide ribosomal RNA is filed under the name uncultured bacterium. RNAcentral describes it as "partial 16S ribosomal RNA". It matches the Rfam family "Bacterial small subunit ribosomal RNA", at positions 15 to 257 of the family's 1533-position model. The record is from RNAcentral.
GAUCCUGGCUCAGGAUGAACGCUAGCUACAGGCUUAACACAUGCAAGUCGAGGGGCAGCGGGAAGUCAGCUUGCUGACUUUGCCGGCGACCGGCGCACGGGUGAGUAACACGUAUCCAACCUUCCCGUUACUCUGGGAUAGCCUUUCGAAAGAAAGAUUAAUACCGGAUAGUAUCGAAAGAUUGCAUGAUAACCCGAUUAAAGAUUUAUCGGUAACGGAUGGGGAUGCGUUCCAUUAGAUAGUAGGCGGGG